This 222-nucleotide unclassified non-coding RNA is filed under the name Hevea brasiliensis (rubber tree). Lineage: Eukaryota; Viridiplantae; Streptophyta; Magnoliopsida; Malpighiales; Euphorbiaceae. The record is from RNAcentral.
AAUUGAACCUCUUAGGUUGUUCAUGCCAAGAUCCAAUAUAAGUAAAUUUUUCAGAUCUCCUAAGUUGGAAGGAAUGGAACCAUUGAUUUGAUUCCGUGAAAGAGUCAAUUGCUGCAAAUUAAUUAAAUGACUUAAAGAUGAAGGAAUUGACCCAACGAGCAUAUUAUCAGACAAAUCAAUGGUAAUUAAAUUUUUGAGUUGCCCUAAUUCUUGUGGAAUAAA